RNAcentral lists this ribosomal RNA (85 nucleotides) under Mediterranea sp. (in: CFB group bacteria). Lineage: Bacteria; Pseudomonadati; Bacteroidota; Bacteroidia; Bacteroidales; Bacteroidaceae. The record is from RNAcentral.
ACCUCUUCCCAUUCCGAACAGAGAAGUUAAGCCCCGCCACGCCGAUGGUACUGCGUCACAGUGGGAGAGUAGGUAGUCGCCGUUU